GAUUCCUACGGGAGGCAGCAGUAGGGAAUCUUCCGCAAUGGGCGAAAGCCUGACGGAGCAACGCCGCGUGAGUGAUGAAGGUUUUCGGAUCGUAAAGCUCUGUUGCCAGGGAAGAACGCUCAGGAGAGUAACUGCUCCUGAGGUGACGGUACCUGAGAAGAAAGCCCCGGCUAACUACGUGCCAGCAGCCGCGGUAAUAAU
This 201-nucleotide ribosomal RNA is filed under the name uncultured bacterium. RNAcentral's name for it is "partial 16S ribosomal RNA". It matches the Rfam family "Bacterial small subunit ribosomal RNA", at positions 334 to 526 of the family's 1533-position model. The record is from RNAcentral.